Molecule: long non-coding RNA, 885 nt
Organism: Aedes aegypti (yellow fever mosquito)
Lineage: Eukaryota; Metazoa; Arthropoda; Insecta; Diptera; Culicidae
Exons: 2
Source: RefSeq, a predicted model, not a curated record
AUUUUCACCAACAGGUAACUGGUUGUUGCUAGGGAACCCUAACAACUCAAUAGAGGGAGGCGACGUCCGAUUGCCUACUGUAGAGAGCCCAAAACACAUCUCCAUUUAGUGGUAUACAGAAUAACAGUGACGUUUAUUAUAUCCAUCUUAGUGACCCAUAUUUCUUAGCCUACUACAUCUCUCCUUGUCUUUAAUAAAAUUUAAUUAUUAAUUAGCUGACCUAAUUAAACCCGAAUGGUAUGAAACAACAUGAUAAUUACUAAAAUAUGUAAACAUAUUUAUCCUAACAUGAAAUAUUUUGAACAAUGUAGCGUUCUUGCUGUGCAUCGAGCUUCAGUAUAACUUAUAAGUAUCCUGCCAUGUUCUUUGGUUCAAUCUUCAUAUUCCUGUACGUCACAAACUUCGAAGUUGACGGUUGCGCUUGCCUAAAUUUUAUGGAAAAUAUGUAUUAGUAAAUAACUUAUUAAUAAUAAUUCAUUCAAAGCUAUAUACUUUACCGUAUUUUUCCUUUUUUUUAUAAUUUACAUAAAAAAAAUGUGUUGAUACUUAUGCUUUUCAGUGGAAAUCUCGUGCAUCCGCGUUUUCUUCAGUUUCAUUCUUCAUGAUUAUUUCAUUCUUCAAAACGCCUUUCCAAUGUUAGUGGACAUUUUGCUUUAAUUUUUUUUCUGAAAUUGUAACUAAAGUUGCAUCUAACAUAUCAAAUAUGUUAACAUAUUCUUAUUAUAUAUUGCAAUUUUAGGGAAAACUUUCCGUUUUACGGUUCAACGAAAAGCUACCGCAAACUGGAAAAUUUUCUUAACAACCGUAAUGUUAUAUUGCAUAUUUAAUGAGAAACUUCAUUAUAGAACAAACUACAGAAUAAACAAAUGUAUUAUUUUCUUGGGA